UACGUAGGGUGCAAGCGUUGUCCGGAAUUAUUGGGCGUAAAGAGCUCGUAGGCGGUUUGUUGCGUCGGCUGUGAAAUCCCGAGGCUCAACCUCGGGUCUGCAGUCGAUACGAGCAAACUAGAGUGUUGCAGGGGAGACUGGAAUUCCUGGUGUAGCGGUGAAAUGCGCAGAUAUCAGGAGGAACACCGGUGGCGAAGGCGGGUCUCUGGGCCGAAAUUGACGCUGAGGAGCGAAAGCGUGGGGAGCAAACAGG
RNAcentral lists this ribosomal RNA (253 nucleotides) under uncultured bacterium. RNAcentral describes it as "partial 16S ribosomal RNA". It matches the Rfam family "Bacterial small subunit ribosomal RNA", at positions 524 to 776 of the family's 1533-position model. The record is from RNAcentral.